CAGGGUUUGAUCAUGGCUCCCGUUGAACGCUGGCGGAUGCUUUACACAUGCAAGUCGAACGGCAGCACGGACUUCGGUCUGGUCGAGUGGCGAACAGGUGAAGUAAUGUAUCGGAACGUGCUAGUAGCGGGGGAUAACUACGCGGCGUAGCUAAUACCCUGCCACGCCCUUCGGGGAAAAGCGGGGAGACCUUCGGGCCUCGCACUAUUAGAGCGGCCGAUAUCGGAUUAGCUAGUUGGUAGGGGUAACGGCUCGCAAAGGCGACGAUCCGUAGCUGGUUUGAGAGGACGACCAGCCACACUGGGACUGAGACAGCCCAGACUCUACGGGGAGGCAGCAGUGGGGAAUUACUGGACAAUGGGGAAACCUGAUCCAGCCAUCCCGCGUGUGCGAUGAGGCCUUCGGGUUGUAAAGCACUUUUGGCAGGAAAAACAGCACGGGAUAUUACCCCGUGUAAUAAACCACAGAAUAAGCACCGGCUAACUACGUGCCAGCAGCCGCGACAUGCGAGGUGCAGCGUUAAUCGGAAUUACUGGGCAAAGCGUGCGCAAGGCGGUUUCGGAAAGAAAGAUGUAGAAAUCGGAAGCAACUCGGAACUGCAUUUUUAACUACCGAGCUAGAGUGUGUCAGAGGAGGUGGAAUUCCGCGUGUAGCAGUGAAAUGCGUAGAUAUGCGGAGGAACACCGGCGAAAACCGGCCUCCUGGGAUAACACUGACGCUCAUGCACGAAAGCGUGGGAGCAGAGCUGGGUUAGAUACCCUGGUAGUCCACGCCCUAAACGAUGUCAACUAGCUGUUGGGGCCUUCCGGGCCUUAUUGUACCCAACUAACGUGAAGUUGACCGCCUGGGGGUACGGUCGCAAGAUUAAACUAGAAAGGGAGCUUGACGGGGACCCACGCAAGCGGUGGAUGAUGUGGAUUAAUUCGAUGCAACGCGAAAACUCCCCACCUACCCUUGACAUGUCUGGAAUCCCGAAGAGAUUUGGGAGUGCUCGCAAGAGAACCGGAACACAGGUGCUGCAUGGCUGUCGUCAGCUCGUGUCGUGAGAUGUUGGGUUAAGUCCCGCAACGAGCGCAACCCUUGUCAUUAGUUGCUACGAGAAAGGGCACUCUAAUGGGGUGCGGUGACAAACCGGAGGAAGGUGGGGAUGACGUCAAGUCCUCAUGGCCCUUAUGGGUAGGGCUUCACACGUCAUACAAUGGUCGGGACAGAGGGCCGCCAACCCGCGAGAGGCCAAUCGAAAACCCGAUCGUAGUCCGGAUCGCAGUCACCGCAACUCGACUGCGUGAAGUCAGAUCACUAAUGUCGCGGAUCAGCAUGUCGCGGUGAAUACGUUCCCGGAGUCUUGUACACCGCCCGUCACAUCGUGGGGUGGGUUUUUACCAGAAGUAGUUAAUAACCGUAAGGAGGGCGAUUACCACGGUAGGAUUCAUGACUGGGGUGAAGUCGUAACAAGGUAG
This 1460-nucleotide ribosomal RNA is filed under the name uncultured Bordetella sp. Its description in RNAcentral is "partial 16S-23S ribosomal RNA intergenic spacer". It matches the Rfam family "Bacterial small subunit ribosomal RNA". The record is from RNAcentral. Lineage: Bacteria; Pseudomonadati; Pseudomonadota; Betaproteobacteria; Burkholderiales; Alcaligenaceae.